RNAcentral lists this ribosomal RNA (467 nucleotides) under uncultured bacterium. RNAcentral describes it as "partial 16S ribosomal RNA". It matches the Rfam family "Bacterial small subunit ribosomal RNA", at positions 28 to 506 of the family's 1533-position model. The record is from RNAcentral.
GACGAACGCUGGCGGCGUGCUUAACACAUGCAAGUCGAACGGAAAGGCCCUGCUUUUGUGGGGUGCUCGAGUGGCGAACGGGUGAGUAACACGUGAGUAACCUGCCCUUGACUUUGGGAUAACUUCAGGAAACUGGGGCUAAUACCGGAUAGGAGCUCCUGCUGCAUGGUGGGGGUUGGAAAGUUUCGGCGGUUGGGGAUGGACUCGCGGCUUAUCAGCUUGUUGGUGGGGUAGUGGCUUACCAAGGCUUUGACGGGUAGCCGGCCUGAGAGGGUGACCGGCAACAUUGGGACGGAGAUACGGCCCAGACGCCUACGGGAGGCAGCAGUGGGGAAUAUUGCACAAUGGGCGGAAGCGUGAUGGAGCAACGCCGCGUGAGGGAUGACGGCCUUCGGGUUGUAAACCGCUUUCGCCGGUGACGAAGCGUGAGUGACGGUAAUGGGUAAAGAAGCACCGGCUAACUAGGU